RNAcentral lists this ribosomal RNA (423 nucleotides) under uncultured bacterium. RNAcentral describes it as "bacterial SSU rRNA". It matches the Rfam family "Bacterial small subunit ribosomal RNA", at positions 362 to 776 of the family's 1533-position model. The record is from RNAcentral.
UAUUGCGCAAUGGGGGAAACCCUGACGCAGCGAUGCCGCGUGGGUGAAGAAGGCUUUCGGGUCGUAAAGCCCUGUCAGGUGGGAAGAACAGUCUCUUAUUGAAUAGAUAGGAGGCCUGACGGUACCACCGAAGGAAGCACCGGCUAACUCCGUGCCAGCAGCCGCGGUAAGACGGAGGGUGCGAGCGUUAUUCGGAAUCAUUGGGCGUAAAGAGCGUGUAGGCGGCCGGUAAAGUCAGGUGUGAAAGCCCGGGGCUCAACCUCGGAAGUGCACUUGAAACUGGUCGGCUUGAGUUCGGGAGAGGGAAGCGGAAUUCCUGGUGUAGAGGUGAAAUUCGUAGAUAUCAGGAGGAACAUCGGUGGCGAAGGCGGCUUCCUGGACCGAAACUGACGCUGAGACGCGAAAGCGUGGGGAGCAAACAGG